This 460-nucleotide ribosomal RNA is filed under the name uncultured bacterium. Its description in RNAcentral is "partial 16S ribosomal RNA". It matches the Rfam family "Bacterial small subunit ribosomal RNA", at positions 338 to 795 of the family's 1533-position model. The record is from RNAcentral.
CCUACGGGAGGCAGCAGUGAGGAAUAUUGGUCAAUGGGCUUACGCCUGAACCAGCCAAGUCGCGUGAGUGAAGACUGCCCUAUGGGUUGUAAACCUCUUUUGUCAGGGAGCAAUUGGCGCUACGUGUAGCGUUAUCGAGAGUACCUGAAGAAAAAGCAUCGGCUAACUCCGUGCCAGCAGCCGCGGUAAUACGGAGGUUGCGAGCGUUCACAGGAUUUUUUGGGUUUAAGGGGUGCGUAGGCGGAAUGCCAAGUCAGCGGUAAAAUCGCGGGGUUCAACCUCGCUCCGCCGUUGAAACUGGCGUUCUUGAGUGGGCGAGAAGUAUGCGGAAUGCGUGGUGUAGCGGUGAAAUGCAUAGAUAUCACGCAGAACUCCGAUUGCGAAGGCAGCAUACCGGCGCCCAACUGACGCUGAAGCACGAAAGCGUGGGUAUCGAACAGGAUUAGAUACCCGAGUAGUC